Myotis myotis is the source of this 427-nucleotide long non-coding RNA. RefSeq lists it as uncharacterized. The transcript is spliced from 4 exons. NCBI's taxonomy places the organism in Eukaryota, Metazoa, Chordata, Mammalia, Chiroptera, Vespertilionidae. The record is from RefSeq and is a predicted model, not a curated record.
UGGAGUAGGUGUUUAGAGACAUGGAAUUACUGUUUGGCACAGGACCAAAAAUUCUAUUCCUUUGUUUCACAGAGGUUUCAGAGUUCUGAGUUGGAGGAGAACAUUGUUUGGAAAUAUGUGGCAUUCACUUAUUCAUACUACUGCAGGUCCACCCAGGCAUGAUGGCUGGGUGCUCACAGAAAAUGAAAGAAGAUUUAACCGGCCAGAGUAAGCUGCUCUGCAAGCAAAAUCUAAACAGGUCCCUGUGAAGAUAGCAAUCCACUAUGGUUCUCCAUCCAACAUACAGGAACCAAGAAGCCUGUGCAACCAGGAGCCUGUGCAGUGCAAACUCAGAGUGAAAGCAGUUCCUCAGCUGCUGGUACCUUAGUGUCAGAUGCCUCUUCUCGCUGCUCCUCUUCAGGUUGGCCUCUUGAGGUAUGGGGAAGUG